RNAcentral lists this ribosomal RNA (397 nucleotides) under uncultured bacterium. RNAcentral's name for it is "bacterial SSU rRNA". It matches the Rfam family "Bacterial small subunit ribosomal RNA", at positions 29 to 408 of the family's 1533-position model. The record is from RNAcentral.
AAUCAACGCUGGCGGCGUGCCUAACACAUGCAAGUCGAACGCGAAAGCCCCUUCGGGGGCGAGGUAGAGUGGCGUCCGGGUGAGUAACACGUGGGUAAUCUACCUCCGGGUGGGGAAUAACUCGCCGAAAGGCGGGCUAAUACCGCAUAAUGCAGCGGCACCGAAUGGUGAUUAGUUGUUAAAGCGGGGGACCUUAGGGCCUCGCGUCUGGAGAGGAGCCUGCGGCAGAUUAGCUUGUUGGUAGGGAAUGGCCUACCAAGGCUGCGAUCUGUAGCUGGUCUGAGAGGACGGCCAGCCACACUGGCACUGACACACGGGCCAGACUCCUACGGGAGGCAGCAGUGGGGAAGUUUUGGGCAAUGGGCGAAAGCCUGACCCAGCAACGCCGCGUGAAGGA